Molecule: ribosomal RNA, 2923 nt
Filed under: Paenibacillus sp. PK4536
Lineage: Bacteria; Bacillati; Bacillota; Bacilli; Caryophanales; Paenibacillaceae
Description: 23S ribosomal RNA
Rfam family: Bacterial large subunit ribosomal RNA
Source: RNAcentral
GGUUAAGCUACUAAGAGCACACGGUGGAUGCCUAGGCGCUAGGAGCCGAUGAAGGACGUGGCGAACAACGAUAAGGCCUCGGGGAGCUGUAAGCAAGCUGUGAUCCGGGGAUGUCCGAAUGGGGAAACCUAACUGGAUUCAUCUCCAGUUACUCACACCUGAAUACAUAGGGUGUGCAGAGGCAGACGAGGGGAACUGAAACAUCUAAGUACCCUCAGGAAAAGAAAACAAGAGUGAUUCCGUCAGUAGCGGCGAGCGAACGCGGAACAGCCCAAACCAAGAAGCUUGCUUCUUGGGGUUGUGGGACGUCUCUUUGGAGUUACAAAGGAAUGAGGUAGGCGAAGAGGUCUGGAAAGGCCCGCAAGACAAGGUGAAAGCCCUGUAGCUUAAAUCUCAUUCUCUCCGAGACGGAUCCCGAGUAGUGCGGGGCACGUGAAACCCCGUAUGAAUCUGCCAGGACCAUCUGGUAAGGCUAAAUACUCCCUAGCGACCGAUAGUGAAGCAGUACCGUGAGGGAAAGGUGAAAAGGACCCCGGAAGGGGAGUGAAAUAGAACCUGAAACCGUGUGCUUACAAAAAGUCAGAGCCCUAUGAAUGGGUGAUGGCGUGCCUUUUGUAGAAUGAACCGGCGAGUUACGUUCCCGUGCAAGGUUAAGGUGAAAAGCCGGAGCCGCAGCGAAAGCGAGUCUGAAUAGGGCGACUGAGUACGUGGACGUAGACCCGAAACCAGGUGAUCUACCCCUGUCCAGGGUGAAGGUACGGUAACACGUACUGGAGGCCCGAACCCACGCACGUUGAAAAGUGCGGGGAUGAGGUGGGGGUAGCGGAGAAAUUCCAAUCGAACCUGGAGAUAGCUGGUUCUCCCCGAAAUAGCUUUAGGGCUAGCCUCGGAAGUUGAGUCGUGGAGGUAGAGCACUGAUUGGAUGCGGGGCCCGCAAGGGUUACCAAGUUCAGUCAAACUCCGAAUGCCACAGACUUUAUUCCGGGAGUCAGACAGUGAGUGCUAAGAUCCAUUGUCGAAAGGGAAACAGCCCAGACCAUCAGCUAAGGUCCCCAAGUGUGUGUUAAGUGGGAAAGGAUGUGAAGUUGCACAGACAACCAGGAUGUUGGCUUAGAAGCAGCCACCAUUGAAAGAGUGCGUAAUAGCUCACUGGUCGAGUGACUUUGCGCCGAAAAUGUAACGGGGCUAAACACACCACCGAAGCUAUGGCUUGAUACUUUGUAUCAGGGGUAGGGGAGCGUUGAAUGAAGAUUGAAGGUGUACCGCAAGGAGCGCUGGACCUCAUUCAAGUGAGAAUGCCGGUAUGAGUAACGAAAAGAUCAGUGAGAAUCUGAUCCGCCGAAAACCCAAGGAUUCCUGAGGAAGGCUCGUCCUCUCAGGGUAAGUCGGGACCUAAGGCGAGGCCGAAAGGCGUAGUCGACGGACAACAGGUUGAAAUUCCUGUACCACCGAAAGCCGUUAUGAGCAAUGGGAUGACGCAGGAGGAUAGUGACGCGGACUGAUGGAUGUCCGUUCAAGCAGUGAGGCUGAUAUGUAGGCAAAUCCGCAUACCCUAAGGCCAGGCUGUGAUGAGGAGCGAAAAUUGUAGUAGCGAAGGUCAUGAUUUCACACUGCCAAGAAAAGUCUCUAGCCAGGAAGCAGGUGCCCGUACCGUAAACCGACACAGGUGGGUGAGAAGAGAAUUCUAAGGCGCGCGGAAGAACUCUCGUUAAGGAACUCGGCAAAAUGACCCCGUAACUUCGGGAGAAGGGGUGCCCCGGUAGUGUGAAUAGCACGAGGGGGCCGCAGUGAAAAGGCCCAAGCGACUGUUUAGCAAAAACACAGGUCUGUGCGAAGCCGCAAGGCGAAGUAUACGGGCUGACGCCUGCCCGGUGCUGGAAGGUUAAGGGGAGUGGUUAGCGCAAGCGAAGCUAUGAACCGAAGCCCCAGUAAACGGCGGCCGUAACUAUAACGGUCCUAAGGUAGCGAAAUUCCUUGUCAGGUAAAUUCUGACCCGCACGAAUGGCGUAACGAUUUGGGCGCUGUCUCAACGAGAGAUCCGGUGAAAUUUUAAUACCUGUGAAGAUGCAGGUUACCCGCGACAAGACGGAAAGACCCCAUGGAGCUUUACUGCAACUUGAUAUUGAACUGGGGUGCGAUUUGUACAGGAUAGGUGGGAGCCGUAGAAACCGGAGCGCAAGCUUCGGUUGAGGCGCCGUUGGGAUACCACCCUGAUCGCAUUUGAGUUCUAACCUCGUACCGUGAUCCGGUACAGGGACCGUGUCAGGUGGGCAGUUUGACUGGGGCGGUCGCCUCCUAAAGUGUAACGGAGGCGCCCUAAGGUUCCCUCAGAAUGGUUGGAAAUCAUUCGAAGAGUGUAAAGGCAUAAGGGAGCUUGACUGCGAGACAGACACGUCGAGCAGGGACGAAAGUCGGGCUUAGUGAUCCGGUGGUACCGCAUGGAAGGGCCAUCGCUCAACGGAUAAAAGCUACCCUGGGGAUAACAGGCUUAUCUCCCCCAAGAGUCCACAUCGACGGGGAGGUUUGGCACCUCGAUGUCGGCUCAUCGCAUCCUGGGGCUGAAGUAGGUCCCAAGGGUUGGGCUGUUCGCCCAUUAAAGCGGUACGCGAGCUGGGUUCAGAACGUCGUGAGACAGUUCGGUCCCUAUCUGUCGUGGGCGUAGGAAAUUUGAGAGGAGCUGUCCUUAGUACGAGAGGACCGGGAUGGACGCACCGCUGGUGUACCAGUUGUUCCGCCAGGAGCAUCGCUGGGUAGCUACGUGCGGAAGGGAUAAGCGCUGAAAGCAUCUAAGCGUGAAGCCCCCCUCAAGAUGAGAUUUCCCAGUAUGUAAGACCCCUUGUAGACGACGAGGUUGAUAGGUUGGGGGUGGAAGUGCCGCAAGGCAUGGAGCUGACCAAUACUAAUCGGUCGAGGGCUUAUCCAA